CUCGCUGGCUCGGGCUGGGACGGACGGGACAGGGGCCCCACGCGACGCGACGCCGCAAGGACGCUGUUCGCCCCGCCCUAGUGUCAGCAGCACGCCGCGCAGCUGUCAGACGCGCCGCCCUGCCUGCUAAAGGCGUCUGCUCAGCUCUGCUCAGCUGCCCCGGAGCUGUGAUACUCGCCAGCAUGGUGCGGUGCGCGGGCCCUGCAGCCAUGCCCGGCAGGUAGAGGACGCCCGGCGGCGCCUAUGAGACCCGAGGCGGGGGACGUGCCAGCCAUUUUCCACCCCAAAGGGCGCGGCGGCGGGGGCGGCGGCAGCACGGGGGGCGGUUCAGGAGCCGGGAGCAGCGGGGGCGGCGGGUCCGCGUCCGAGGACAGCACGGCGGGGCAGUCGGCGCACAAGGGACCGUUCGGCCAGACCCCGAGGCUGCAACACUCCGACUCUGUUUUUUCUACGACAGCGGCCAGCGGACAUGAGUCCAUCCCGGAGUCGGCCAUCCCCGUGGUCGCACGGCCGCGGCGCCUCGCAAAGUGCAAGGACUCGUGUUGCUCGGAGCCGGCCAAGAAGAUAUACUACGGCGUCUGCAUCACCAUCUGCAUGACGGCGUCCUGGGUGGGCGCGACGCACAGCAUCAAGCUGCUGUACCUCCGCCACCCGCUGGCGGGCUUCGGCUACCACGCGGACCAGCUGUUCCCCGCGCGGCCCGGCCUGGAGGACGUGCUGCCACAGACGGUGCACCCGCUCGGCGGCCACCGGCACGGCCACAGCAACGCCAGCACCACCGCCAUCCACCACUACCUUCUGCGCGCCUCCUACAACGCCCCCUUCUUCACCACCUGGUUCAUCACCAACUUCACCAUCUUCUUCUUCCCGCUCUACCUGGCCAGCCGCCUGCUGACGGCGCGGUGCGUCUCCUGGGGCGAGGUCCUCGGCGAGUGCGUCCGCGGCUUCCGGGACAGGGGCUUUACUCCAGCUCGCUUCCUGACAAGAUGCAUGCUGUUCUGCCUGCUGUGGGUCGGCACCAACUACAUGUACAUCCACUCGCUGCGGAUCCUGCUGGCCACGGACGUCAUGGCCCUGUACGCGACCAACGUGAGCUGCGUCUACCUGCUAUCCUGGGUGAUCCUGCACGAGCAGUUUGUCGGCGUCCGGAUUGUGGCGGUUAUCCUUUGCGACACGGGCAUCGCACUGCUCGCCUACAUGGAUGGCAUCACGGGAAGCCCCACCCUCGGCGGCGUGGUGUUGGCGGCGUGUGCUGGCGCUGGCUCGGCCGUCUACAAGGUGCUGUUCCGGAAAGUGAUCGGUGACGCCAGCUACGGCCAGGUGUCGCUCUUCUUCUCGCUGAUCGGACUCCUCAACGCCUCCAUCCUGUGGCCGCUAGUGCUGGCACUGUACCUGACCGGAGCGGAGACCUUUAACUGGGAACAGCUGCCGUGGGUGGCCCUUCUCGCGUCCAGCGCGCUGUCCCUAGUUGCAAAUCUUCUUGGAAACUUCGGAGUCGCAAUCACGUACGACCUCUUCAUCACUCUUGGUCUGAUCACAUCUGUCCCAGUCUCUGCAGCUUUGGACGUGGUUCUGUAUGGAGCACACUUCGCCGGAAUGAAGUUAGCAGGGAUGAUUCUGAUAGCAGUCGGCUUCUUUCUGGUCAUGUUGCCCGACAACUGGCCUGACUAUAUCACUAGGCUAUUGAGAAAUAUCAUCUUAUUGAGUCACAGUGCUAGCGCCAGUGUGUCCGACCGGAUCCAACACCACCGCCCUUCCUUCUGCCGUCGCGACGCCAUGCCGGGCCACGAGGACCUGUACCAGCCCCGCCUGGGGCGCGCCGAGCGGUCGCUGAGCCGAGCCGACGCCCUGGUUGGAGUCGGCCGCGAGCGCUCCCUGAGCCGGGCCGAUGUGCUGGCGUUUGGCCGCACCGAACGCUCGGCCAGCCGAGCCGACGCGUUCGCGUUCGGCCGCACCGAGCGCUCGGCGAGCCGGGGCGACGCUCUCGGAGUGUUCGGGCGCGAGCGCUCCAAGAGCAUCGCGCCCAUCGGCCGGCCCUAGGCAAUGCCGUGCUCCGCGGUGCUCCGCCAUGCUCCCUCUCCCGCUCGCUCUCCCGGCCCGGCUCCCCUCUCCCCUCUCUUUCUCUCCCCGAGAGGGGCCGGCCGGCAGGCGGACAGCAGUUAGUGGAGCCGCCGCAGCCGGCACGGGCUGCCCGGCAGCCAGCAGCGCACCGUGGUGGACUACCGCACCGGCUACAUCCGCAGCCACCUGAGGUCGCCGUCGGGCAGGGUCCGGUGACCGGAGGAGAGCCUGCAGGGUCUGCUGGGCCCCGACACGCCCCCGCACACGCCCCGCAUGGCCUUUGGCGAAGACUGAACCCCGUGAACCUGCACGGCCUGCCGCACGGCCUCGGUGCGGGCGCCGGGGACGAGCGGGGCCGACUGCGGACGCCCUCCUUGCGCUCGGCUCCACACCGCCGCCGGGACAGCGAGAGGGUAGACUAGGGAGGACCAGGGAACGCCCAGUGCUCAGACAAUCGGUGCUGUGUGUUUGUGUCGUGUGAAUUUGUGGCACCGAGUUAGGGCGUGAGAGCAUACAUGGAAGUGAAUGUUUGCAUGUGUAUGUAUGUAUGUAUGUAUGUAUGUAUGUAUGUAUGUAUGUAUGUAUGUAUGUUGAUUGAUUGAUUUAUUGAUUGAUGGAAGUUAUUGGAAGUAUCAGUAGACAUAUGUUUGUGUAUUUACGUUUAUAAUAUCUCGAAUAUCUCUGUAUGUAAUGUAUAUGAAUUGAUAUCGCGAUCUGUUAAUCUGUUCUUCAUCUUAUGCUCAUUUCAACUCAGUUUGCUCAUGUACGCCUAUCCGCAACGACUUUCCAUGAGAAUUGUGUAUCACUGCGAACUUGGUGUACCCUGGGAGAGAAUUUCACCUCAAUAUCGCGAUCUUUUCUUUAACUAUAUACUUCAAAUCGAUUUCAUGAUUGUGUCACGGCCAUAAAGCACACUCGAUUCGACGCUGGUUUCUUCCCUUCACUACUAAGCCUUAUUGUGAUUUUUUCAUUCUUAAGCAUGCAUGUUAGCUUGUAUUAGAUCGAAAUCAUAUGCAUGAUUGUCUGAAAACAUUAUUGACUGAGCUGUAAACUCGGUAAUUUCUAAUUUUUUAGACCUUGAUAGACUCUCUUUACAAAUCUUUUUCACCCCGACCCUGAAGUUAUAACCAUGUAACCUGUGUAAAUAAAUGUUUAGAUGAAUCAAAA
This is an RNA transcript of Frankliniella occidentalis (western flower thrips), 3228 nucleotides long. It is a transcript of the gene named putative thiamine transporter SLC35F3, with no coding region annotated. NCBI's taxonomy places the organism in Eukaryota, Metazoa, Arthropoda, Insecta, Thysanoptera, Thripidae. The record is from RefSeq and is a predicted model, not a curated record. The transcript is spliced from 12 exons.